Long non-coding RNA from Mastomys coucha (southern multimammate mouse), 817 nucleotides. RefSeq lists it as uncharacterized. NCBI's taxonomy places the organism in Eukaryota, Metazoa, Chordata, Mammalia, Rodentia, Muridae. The record is from RefSeq and is a predicted model, not a curated record. The transcript has 2 exons.
UCUAGCUUUCCCGAGAUACACUGAACAAGCGAACGCUGCACAUCUGACACACUGGCCGCACUCCCCAGCGCACCUGUGACAUCAUCUGUGACCUGAUAAUGAACUCACUCAUCCUUCCCAAGGCUUCUCAACAGUUUUCUCAAAAGAAAAAAAAAAAGAGCUUGAAUGAAGUAGUCAGCUGGGAAUGAACAUACCUAAAGCAAGGAGAAGGGUAACGUGAGGAAGAGGAGUUUUCUUUUUAAAUUCGUUUUAUUUGUUAUAAAAAUAACUAUGUAUUUCUUUUACUAUUUAAAACCAUCAAACAAGGAAAAAUUUCAAGAAUGUAAGAGCAGAUCUCUUUAAAAGAUGCAGGAACCGUGGCAAGUCCAUGCUUACCAACAGCCCCGACCUCAGUACAUUCAGCCAUGUCACUGUGACCCAGGCCUGAGCCCAGAGGGGAAGCCACAGUCUCUGCUAACCCUGUGACAGGUACACCUGCCAGCAACCUGGGUAUCAGUGAACACCAAGUGUGGCAGGGCAUCCCUGUGGAACCUGGGAACCUGCUGUGGAGAGCUCUUAAGGCUGCUUCAAGGAAAUUGGCAAGAACAUCUGACACUGGGCUAAGACAAGGAAGUAAGCUCAAGAAAAACACAGCUGAGGAAUGUACUCCUUGUAUCUUGAUCAUCUUGAUACAGUGACGGGGACCUUUGCUUAUGCCUUGCUUGUCCUUGACCAAGAACUGACCCUAUUCUCUGCAUGUACUUAGAAUGGUAUAAAAGCAGACUGGGGAAAAAUAAACUCACUUCAGUACUUGCUGGAGUCAUGUUAUAAUGCCAAA